AUUUAAAUAGUUUAAAAAAAAUAUUAGUUUGUGGGGCUAAAGAUAUAAAAGUUAUUUUAAAUA
This 63-nucleotide transfer RNA is filed under the name Opilo sinensis. RNAcentral describes it as "tRNA-His". Lineage: Eukaryota; Metazoa; Arthropoda; Insecta; Coleoptera; Cleridae. The record is from RNAcentral. RNAcentral also lists the same sequence under 1 other name.